GACGAACGCUGGCGGCGGGCUUAACACAUGCAAGUCGAACGGCAAGGCCCUGCUUUUGUGGGGUGCUCGGGUGCGGAAGGGGUGAGUAACACGUGUGCAACCUACCCUAGACUUUGGGGUAACAUCAGGAAACGGGGGCUAAUACCGGAUAGGAGCUCCUGUAGCGUGGUGGGGGUUGGAAAUUUUCGGCUGGUGGGGCUGGACUGGCGGCUUAUCGGCUAGCUGGUGGGGGAGUGGCAGACCAAGGAUUGGACGGGUAGCCGGCCUGAGAGGGGGAACGGCCACAUUACGACUGAGAGACGGACCAGACUCCAAUGGUAGGCAACGGUGGGGAGUAUUACACAGUGGGCGGAAGCCUGAGGCGACAACGCCGCGUGCGGGAAGACGGCCUGCGGGUUGUGAACCGCUUUCGCCUGAGACGAAGCGUUAGUGACGGUAAUCGGUGAAGAAGCACCGGCUAACUACGUG
This 468-nucleotide ribosomal RNA is filed under the name uncultured bacterium. Its description in RNAcentral is "partial 16S ribosomal RNA". It matches the Rfam family "Bacterial small subunit ribosomal RNA", at positions 28 to 507 of the family's 1533-position model. The record is from RNAcentral.